This is a long non-coding RNA of Macaca fascicularis (crab-eating macaque), 2046 nucleotides long. NCBI's taxonomy places the organism in Eukaryota, Metazoa, Chordata, Mammalia, Primates, Cercopithecidae. The record is from Ensembl.
UUUUUUUUUUUUUUCACUAAAAGAUAAUUUACUCAGAAUGAACAUUUAUUGGAAUUUUUUUUUUUUUGUAAGAGAUAGGCAUAGUGUUUCAAAGAUGCCUCCUUGUGUGAAUAUACAAAACAGUGGGCCCAUUGGACCAGUCGCAUCUACCUUCUUCAGAAUUCACCACAGUACAGUUUGGUUACUGAUGAGAGACUGAUUUGUUUCUGAGAUCAGCUUGAGGAGAAAAAGAAAUGCCUCAUCUCACAGUAUGAAAAAGCCAUCUAAUAUUUACUUCUGAAAAAACUGAGCAUCUGGUUAUACGAAAGGUUUGAGAAUUUUAAUGAUUCCCCCAAAUUCAACCCUUUAUCGAACCAAUUUAUUUAGGGAUCUUAAGGUUAAUAAUAUAGUUAUAUCCAGGUACAAGUUUAUCCUAUGUAUAUAAACGAACAUUAAAAAAUUCAAGAUACCUUUUGUAACAGAAUUAGAAGUUUAGUAGUUGAACAUAGCGAAAGAAAAUGUGGAAUAGUCUAUUAAAUAUAACUUCUUUUUUUCAAAUUGCCAAAAGAAGCGUAAAUGACCAGCGAAGUUUUAGAACUCUGUAAGUACAAGACUGCUAAUGGGUCAAAAAUAAGAAAAUUUCAUUUUUACGUCUUCGAGAAACUUCUGAGGAAUACCCACUGAGUCACUGUAAAAAGCAGCAUCUUCAUAAUUCAGCCAAACAUGGGAGUUCUCUCAAAUGAGAAAGAUAAGCUGCGAACUGGGGUUGACCUCAGGGCUGUUCAAAAGCCUCCGUUGAUUUAAGUCAAUAAGGUGAAAAUGGUAAGCAGCUGUUUUGUUAACAACAUAGAAAAGGAAAAUGAAAGAUGCUGAUUCAAAUCAAAUUGGAAAAUGUUGAAAAUAGGUUAAUUUAUCUACCUUGGAAAUAAAUGGAAGUUAUAUUAAUUCCGCCUUUAAAAGGUGUAUAAUAAAGCACACCAGAUCAUUGGGAAUAAAUACAGAAGGAUAAAGGAAUGAAACAUUUGUCCAGGAUAUGUGGGGCUGUUUGUAAGGACUGAGUUUGAAUAAACAAUAACAAAAUAUCUUUCAUUAUAGGAAGUGACUGUUCUAUGCAAGUAAUGGCAGCAUUUUGCAUUCCUAAAGUUAAAAAUAAUGAAAUGAAUUUUGGACACAGAAACACACACCAGAGGUCAUUCGUAUGGAGAAAAAAAAAAAAAGUGAAUUGUAGGAUAGAAUUCCUGAGACAGAUAGACCCUGGAUCUGAUCUUAUCAAGAAAUUCUUAUGGUCUUUCCCCCCACCUCGUCCUGGAAUUUAGUUCAAUAAAAGUUCCUAAAAACAAACAGAAUGAAUCAGAGUCACUGAGUAUAGCCACAGGCUGGCGGGAAAUGAGCUUCUAUCAAUCCCAGGUUCAUCGAGGCACUUGUAACAAACCAUUAACUGCAUUUCAAAAAAAACCCCACAUUUUUCGAAGGGUGAGAUCAACCAAAAAUGUGAUCAGACCCCUCUCACUAAGAACUGCAUCGGACAUGAGACAAGCAGUAGCACAGAGAGAGCCCGAACGGGAAAAGUGGUGCCCAGAGUUACACAGAUGCAAAGUGUGUCUGCAGACCUUUCGUUUCUUUGUCUGCUUUGACUUGUUAAAGACGCUAGUUUUCAUUCUCUAUGCCACGGGACCUAGGAAGUCUGUGCAGCAUCUCUUGACAGGAUUCUUUUAAGUCAGUGGGGACAUUUCCGGCAUUCCUUGUUUCUAUCAGGUUCAGGUACCUAAAGCUUGUUGUUUACAGAGCAUGGAUGUCAUCUCACUGUUCCACUUCCUCUCCAAUGGUUGGAUAAGCAGUGAUUCAAUUAUUUGAUAGGCUAGUGGCCAGUGGCAAUGCAGUGGAGGCCCACAGUAUUGAUCUUUGAUGGUGUGUGCAAUGAUUUGAUUUGGGGGGAUAUGGUGAUGGGGCUUGGGAAGAGAGCAGGCAGCAUAAAAACUGUCCGUGCUCUAAUGGCAGUUUUCAACUGGUAGGCCCAUGGGAAGGUCAUCUUGAAUUCCACAGGAGAGAGAAGUGUUCUCAUAGAAU